UCGACCUGAGCUCAGGCAGAGUUACCCGCUGACGUGAGUCAUAUCAAUAAGCGGAGGGAAAAGAAAACUAAU
RNAcentral lists this ribosomal RNA (72 nucleotides) under Dictyosphaerium ehrenbergianum. Its description in RNAcentral is "partial 28S ribosomal RNA". The record is from RNAcentral. Lineage: Eukaryota; Viridiplantae; Chlorophyta; Trebouxiophyceae; Chlorellales; Chlorellaceae.